Molecule: transfer RNA, 71 nt
Filed under: Serratia phage phiMAM1
Lineage: Duplodnaviria; Heunggongvirae; Uroviricota; Caudoviricetes; Pantevenvirales; Ackermannviridae
Rfam family: tRNA
About the family: Transfer RNA (tRNA) molecules are approximately 80 nucleotides in length. Their secondary structure includes four short double-helical elements and three loops (D, anti-codon, and T loops). Further hydrogen bonds mediate the characteristic L-shaped molecular structure. tRNAs have two regions of fundamental functional importance: the anti-codon, which is responsible for specific mRNA codon recognition, and the 3' end, to which the tRNAs corresponding amino acid is attached (by aminoacyl-tRNA synthetases). tRNAs cope with the degeneracy of the genetic code in two manners: having more than one tRNA (with a specific anti-codon) for a particular amino acid; and 'wobble' base-pairing, i.e. permitting non-standard base-pairing at the 3rd anti-codon position.
Source: Rfam by way of RNAcentral
CGGGAAGUAGUUUAGCGGUAAAACGCAAGCACAGGGUGCUUGAGUCCUAGGUUCGAAUCCUAGACUCCCGG